AUAAGAGUUGGAGACCUAAACUUGUGUGGGAGAGAUGAUAGAUGUGCUACCACAGGGGAGUGCGUCCACCAUUUUGGUAGAAAGUAGAGAUGUGUCUUUCUUGUAAAGAAGCAGUGCCAGGCCUAGAGGCGUUUGAUCUGCUACCCACGUCAAGUCGGGUGCAUUAGCUUCCAUUGUUGCUAUAACAAACCAGCACCAACCUAGAUGGUGUCUGUGGAAGAUGUCUCAGUUUGCACAUCAGACUAGUGGUCUCCUCAGAACAGCUCUGGUCUCCUUGGCGUUCUUAGUCCUGCAGCCACAGACGAUUUGAAUAGACUUCCUGUCUUCCAGCUCAACUCUUCCCUACUUGUAGAGGGAGCCACAAAGAAGCCGACGGAGAUAAGAAGAUGGUAUCAAAUCCCCUGGAGCUGGAGUUACAGGGGGGUGCGACCAACCAUGUGAAUCUUGGGGUUCAAAUUCAGGUCUUGAACAAGAGCGCACUCAAAGAAUGCAGUACACAUCUUGUGACAGGUGCCCGGUGACCCUGUGCCAACAGGCUGACUCACCUCCCAUGCUGCUAAUGUUCACCAGCCUUCCCUUGGACUUUCUAAGGAGAGGCAGAAACACCUUGGUGACCUCCACAGUUCCGAAGAAGUUCACGGCCAUGCAUUUUCUGUAGAAGGACAUGGGAAUGAGUUCCCCGUCAAUCGGAUAGUGUAAGAUCCCAGCAUUGUUGACCACGGCCCACAGUCCUGGGGGCGGAAAAAAAAGCCAUCUGUGAGGAUGGGAGAAAGCUGGAGCAUGUGGAUAUUUUCACACAUUGAGUUCUGGAGCCACCAAACCUCUUUGAAAACUAGAUUUCAGGCAGAAUACAAACUUUCCCAACUUGGUCUCUUCCUAUGUACUCAAACUACUCCCAUAGUGGAGCAAGGUGAGGAGAACAAACGUGUGUAUUAUUAAACAAUGAUUUUGGUGAUCCCGUA
Grammomys surdaster is the source of this 962-nucleotide long non-coding RNA. RefSeq lists it as uncharacterized. The record is from RefSeq and is a predicted model, not a curated record. NCBI's taxonomy places the organism in Eukaryota, Metazoa, Chordata, Mammalia, Rodentia, Muridae. The transcript has 3 exons.